CUGGGGCCUAGGACCUUUGUGGUAGCAGAGUCACUGCAGAGAACCAGACAAUACCAGGUUGCUUAUAAAAGGAUGCCAUGUGCUUGCUGGAGGUCCCAGGUGCAACCAAAUUGCUUGCAGCUAGGAGGACCUUGAAGAGAAAUGGGAUCAGCCCGCCAAACCAAGAAGGGUUAGCACUUUUGCUAGGAGAGCUGACCACGCACAAACAGAUGAGAACCAAAACCGAGUGAAGAGGAUUGAAGAUGAACCCACAUUUUAAAAGUUCUUGUCUGCUGGAGGUGGCAUUACCUGUGACCUCGCUUCACUUCUCCAUACAUGGCUGUUAUAGCAGGUACAUUGUAAAGAAGCAUGAUUAUUUCUAGAAAUGCAAAAACAUGUGGCAAGAUUUUAAAACCUGUCAUUAUUCUAAAGAAUACUUAAUGAGAUUUGAAGAGCAUUCAAGUUACAAAUGAGGAAAACUUGUUUUAGCAUUCAAAGUACAAGAGAAUUUGAACAUUUUUUAAGUGUAUAUUAUUUGUGCAAAGUGAAGAUAUAAGAAUGUAUGGCAAGGAUAUUUUUAAGUGGCUAUUUCUUGUUGUGAUUGAAGUACCGUUUACUUUCUACUUAUAAUUUCUUAAAAUCUAAACGGUGCCAACAGUGGGUGUAACUUUUGUAAUUUCUUGAAAUAGAAAGGUCUUCUAGAGUAAGAUACAAAAAAAA
Molecule: long non-coding RNA, 699 nt
Organism: Homo sapiens (human)
Lineage: Eukaryota; Metazoa; Chordata; Mammalia; Primates; Hominidae
Gene: FIRRE
Product: firre intergenic repeating RNA element
Source: Ensembl